Molecule: transfer RNA, 73 nt
Filed under: Stegodyphus mimosarum
Lineage: Eukaryota; Metazoa; Arthropoda; Arachnida; Araneae; Eresidae
Rfam family: tRNA
About the family: Transfer RNA (tRNA) molecules are approximately 80 nucleotides in length.
Source: Rfam by way of RNAcentral
GCCUUCGUGGUAAAACUGGAAGCACGUUCGACACAUAUUCGGAAGGUUCUGAGUUCGAAUCCCGGCGAGGGCA